CCCACGUAUCAACGGACCUUACCGAUGAUGAACCGCUUACGCCGUCUCAUCUUCUCUAUGGAAGACGGAUUAAAACUUUACCGUAUUCAGGAACAAUUAAUUUCAACAGUGAGGAGAACGUACAAAACUUAACACAUUACACAGCAAAUAGACAAUCUAGUGUUCAAAAACGCAUUAUUCACGACUUCUGGAACAGAUGGCGACGAG
Molecule: long non-coding RNA, 207 nt
Filed under: Mytilus galloprovincialis (Mediterranean mussel)
Lineage: Eukaryota; Metazoa; Mollusca; Bivalvia; Mytilida; Mytilidae
Source: RNAcentral